This 72-nucleotide transfer RNA is filed under the name Archangium sp. Its description in RNAcentral is "tRNA-Val". It matches the Rfam family "tRNA". Rfam says of the family: Transfer RNA (tRNA) molecules are approximately 80 nucleotides in length. Their secondary structure includes four short double-helical elements and three loops (D, anti-codon, and T loops). The record is from RNAcentral. RNAcentral also lists the same sequence under 4 other names. Lineage: Bacteria; Pseudomonadati; Myxococcota; Myxococcia; Myxococcales; Archangiaceae.
GGGCGGAUAGCUCAGCGGUAGAGCGUCGCCCUUACAAGGCGAGGGUCACAGGUUCGAAACCUGUUCCGCCCA